Heterocephalus glaber (naked mole-rat) is the source of this 3771-nucleotide long non-coding RNA. RefSeq lists it as uncharacterized. NCBI's taxonomy places the organism in Eukaryota, Metazoa, Chordata, Mammalia, Rodentia, Bathyergidae. The record is from RefSeq and is a predicted model, not a curated record.
GGUGUCCAGGAGGGGCUGUAGACAGUAAGUGCUCCAAGGGGUAGAGGAGUUGCUUUGGGGUGAGACAACUAUUCCAAAGAGCCAACUUCCAAAGAAGGGAGUUUGAGGAGGCUCAUAAAAAAGAAGUGAUUUUGGGCCGGGGAUUUAGCUCAGUGGUGCCACCCCCUGCCUCACAAGUGCAAGGUCCUGAGUUCAAUCCUCGGUACCAAAAAAAAAAAAAGUGAUUUCACUCUAUAGAUGACAAAAGGGGGCUUUGCAGGUUGGACACUGGGAAACGUGGCACGAGUUCUCUUCCAGGACUGAGGAGCUAGGUCUGUGUCCCAGUCUCAGAGACUGAGUUGACAAGGUAGGUCCAGGGCCUGCAGAAGCCUCAUCUCAAAGGAGCACCGUAGUUGGCAUCUCAAAGCACUGCACUGGGGAGCGUAACUUGGCAAUAGCCUGCAGAAUGUCUGGGACAGAGUGACGCUUAGAAGAAUAAAAUAGUAAGCAGGCAACCACAUGACUGGUAGGCUACAGAGGAGGUUGCCAGGGGCAGCUGCUACCACAUCUGCCCCUAACCAUUCACUCAGGAGUACCUGACCCAUCAAGCACAGCUCUACCGUCUGUGAAACUGACUCAGUUCUUCCCCAGAAAUAACACCCUCUCAGGCCCCAGCCCUGUGUCACCCUUAGACCACAGACUGUAUUUCAGCCACCUUUCUCCUGCUUCCUUACUCCGAACUAUACAUACCUAGGAGAAUUUGCAUUCAUCAGAUACAAGCAUCAAACACCGUUCAUUUGAUUUACAGAACAAGAGGAUUCGAGAGUAAUUUGUCACUUAUAAUUGUUAAUAUUAACUAAAAGAAGUCUUUCAAAUGGAGGCUCUUCUAGGGACUAUAAGAUGUGAUUAGAAUGAUAGGCCAUUUGGCGAGUGACCAUCAAUGCUGUGCCGUGCUGACCAAGAGUCUUUCUGCAAGGGAACUGAAUUUAUUUAAUUCUCUCUCUCUGUGAGCCUUUGAAUGUAAGCUCAAGGACAGAUCCAGAUGAGGCAAUGGUCUUCUAAAAGGCUUCAAUGAUACCUCUAGGGACCAGUCUCUUUUAGGACACAGGGCCUGAGAACAUACCAGAGUCCUGGAUGCUGCCAUUUCUGUAGAGGAACAGAGUUGGCCUUCAAAGCCAAGAGUUGUGUAGGACAGAGCAGUGGCCUUCCCUCUGUUUACCAAAAUGGUGGGACCCAGUGAAGGAAAUUCCUUCUCUUCACACGCUUGCAGCUAGUCCACAAAGGGGAGUGGGGAGGACCACGUAAGAGUAGUUUUACAGGACACACACAUGCCCACCCUGAUCCCUCCCCAGGUCUCUGCUGAUGUAGGAUCUGCUCUUUACCCACUAACCAGCUGGUGGAACAGAUGAGGAUGAGGCUGCUAACACUAGCCUUCCCAAGUACCAUCCACGUUUAAGCAGUGGCUUUAGGAAAGAUGGCAACAUAAAUGUGCAUCAGGGUCACCUAGAGAGCUGGCUGAAGCAAAGAUUUCUGGGCCCUGGGUUGUUACAUAAUUUUCAGGAUCCAGUGUAAAAAUAAGAGUCCUCUUGUUGGAAAAUUAAGCCAAACCCAAGUCCCUUCCAAGUAUGCUGCCUUCCAAGAUGGCACAAGUUGUGCCCCAUGAGGCUAGCCGUGGAGGGGACCCACCUGUGGGGAUCCUGAUUCAGUGCAUUUCAGGCAGGGUUUGGAAUGUGCUUGACUGCUAAGUUCCCAGGCUACACUGAUGCUGUUGCUCCUAGAACAAUGCACUGAGGACCACAGCCUCAACUCCAAGUGCUACAAGGAACUCCCGUGGGGGAAAAUCAGCCACUUUGGAAGGGGGUGGCUGAUCUGGGGAAUGGCUGAGGAGAGAUUUUUCAGCACAUUUUGAGUCACACCAGAGAGACAGCUGGCCACUUUCUCCAGACAAGCAGAGGCCACCCCUGGGGUUUCUGGCCAAUGGAGAAGAUAUUUUCUCUUCAAUUUCUUUGAUCUCAGUGGUUAUACUGACUUCAAAAUCUGGAGUAAUCCCAAGACAACCUAUUUGGGAUAACUCGGUCCACAGGAAAUAGUUCUGCUUAAAAUUUCCUGUUUUUAAUAGUUCCAAUGAUGCCAACUGGUUUCCAGGGUGAGGUGAAACUGGCUGCAGCAGUGGGUCAGUGGCCCUGGGAGGUAAGGAGGGACCAGAGUGCUCUGGGGCCACGAAGGGCAACAGAACAUCUUGGAACUGAGGUCACAAUGGCUGGAAGGCCAGGAGCCAGCAGGUGGCCCCCAGGGACCUGGGAUGGGGUGGGGUGGGGGAGCAGGCUGGGUGGGGCCUCUUCCUCCUGUGGAACUAUUUGCUCUCACAGCACCUGCUAUCCUCCCGGGAGCUUCAGAAGGAGCCUGGCCUGGCCACUCACAGCCUAGAGCUGGCAAGCAGGCCCUCCCGGGAGCCAGGAAGCUCAGGUCACAUCUUCGAUGAGGACACGCUGUCUUUUCCCUGUGAAUACCAGGAUGGAAGGAAAGUUGCAACCCAACAAAACCCACCUCUUCUCAGAAGUCCUCAGGAAAUCCCGGGUCUUUUUCUAAAGCCUAUGUCAAAUUCCAACAUGGGUCCAUGAAAACCAGUUCUAGCAAGCUCGCUCUAUCCUGCCCUAGGAGAUGUCCAAAACCAUGGGCUGCUUCCCCUUUUGUUUGGCUUUGUGGCUUGUUAUCUGGACAGAAAAAUCAGUAUUUUGGGAUUCCUGGAAUGUUGACAUGCCUCUCAAACCCCUCAAGAGAUUUGAGGCAGAAACACUGUUUUGAUUUUACGACAUACUUCAUUUACAAAGACAGAACAUCCAGCUCCUUGGAUAAAUUAAACAUCAUACACUCAAGAAUAUAAGAAGAAUUCAUCCAACAGCUGCUGACAGUCAGGAAGAACCUUCAAAAAAUUGUGAAAUCUCCCCCACCCCCACUUCCCAGUCUCAGGACUCCCAGUCCUGCACCCCACCCCAUCCACCACGCUCUCAGAACCUACCCUCAGGGUGAUUUUGCUUUUAUAGCCAGACUUUAAAGGCUGUUUGUACUUUAGUCCCUCUUAUUUUCAUUUUAAUCCUAACCUCUGAUGGGGGCGGGGGUUUGCAGGCAUUCGGCACAGGAAGAGAAGUUGGAAAGGGGACAUGAUACUAACCCUGAACACAUCUCAUGAUCAUUGGGUAAUGAGAGGCAGGUAAAGGAUGUCAGGUUUUAUUCUUCACCACCAACCCUUGCAUGCUCUGAGAAAAGCAUCAUUAUUAACACAUAACCCAGCCAUUAGGGGCAUAGAAAGAAGCCAUCGGGUGAAAAGACCCCAGUGCAGGCUGAAACAUUAACAGCAACAUCUGCAUGCACAAGUUCCCUUUGCCUUCACCCCUUUCCUAGGGAAGAAGAGCCCACAAGGCCAUGGAAGAGCCAGGAAGGGGAAAAGCAAUCUGAAGUCAGCAUGCCAAUACUCUUCACUGCUUAGUGGUAGAAGAUAGCAGCCUUAGCAAGAAAUAAAGAAACAGCAGCACCUUAACAUUUAAGAGGAGAAAGGCUGACGACCUUAGGCAGCCUCUUGGUUUAAAAGUUGUGUCCUGCAUCUUAGCUGCCUUGUUUUCACAUUUGCACUCUAGGACUGGGCAGAUAUUCAUUAGAUUAUCUAGUUAAUCUUGACACAGCCCAGAGAUGUCUGUCGAAUGUUGACUGUCGAAAGAACAGACAAAAAUUUAUAACGCUGCAAUCAUUUAAUUAGCAACACUGAAGAAUAAGAAUAAUUAAUACUAAGAUGAA